Austrofundulus limnaeus is the source of this 2553-nucleotide long non-coding RNA. RefSeq lists it as uncharacterized. The transcript has 3 exons. The record is from RefSeq and is a predicted model, not a curated record. NCBI's taxonomy places the organism in Eukaryota, Metazoa, Chordata, Actinopteri, Cyprinodontiformes, Rivulidae.
UCAACCAACCAACCAACUGACUGACCAUCCAAACAUCCAACUGACUACACUCAAUCAACCGACCGACCAGUCAACUGACCUGUGAACAUCCAACCAAAUGACCAAAUAUUCCACCAAACAAACCAGAUAACUUUAACAAACUUUGUGAAUCUAAAUCUUUAAAAAUUGGAUUCAAUAAACCAGGUUCUUCAGUUUUCCUCCCAGAGAAACAGAAACAUGUUUUGUUUCCUUCUAACAGAUUAAAAAAUAAUAUUAGCAAAACAAGUUCUGCUGUUUUCCAACCCAAACUGUUUCCCUGCAGUUUCAAUCAGACCCGAAACCCAGAACCUGAGUAAAACCCAAUAAAUCAGAACCCCUGGAGCCCGAAGAACACGCUGGACUGAUGAAAUCCUGAUUUUGAUCUGAAUAAUUAACGGCAGCUGAGUGAAGCCUGCGGUUCAGAGGAACCCGGCUGCAGGCAGUUUGUUGGACGGAGAGGAGUUUAUCUGAUGGUAACGCUCAUUAUUACCACUCAGCUGAGAGUCAGUGAACGCAGCAGCAGCAACAAAAAGCAGGGAGGUGACACAGAAACACAAACAGUGCAGAUUUAACUCACGAUGAGACCAGAAACAAAGAGAACUUCUUCUGUUCUGAUUCGUUUACAUUCUGAUGAGGUGGCCCACCCCCAUACCCCGCUCUGAAGACUCAUUAAACAGAACCAGGACACUAAUGGGAUUAUUUGUGAUAAACACAAAAAAUACAAGUGUUCGUCUAAAGUGAAUCAACCAUGUCAGUAAAAACACAGAAGUGCCUUUAAUUCAAUUUGUUAUUUUUCUGUUUCUGUCAAGAGCUCCAUUUCAGACAGCAGGAUUAGUGGAAAUCCUGAGUUAGUUCUGGGUUUUAGGUUUCAGAAAGCCAGAUAGCUGUUAUCCUGAGUCAACUUACCUCCACAACCCUGCUCUGUAGCAGGAUUACUGGAACAAAUCCUGAGUUUGUCUCACUUUUUAUCUGAGAGCCGCACCAGGACAGAGUCAGACAGAGGGCCAUUUUCUAAAGGAGCCUGUAGAUGUUGGAGCCUUGAUGCUCUAAUCUAACAUUAAUCCACAUCAGGACAGAGUGAUAAGACUGUGAUGAACAUUUGAGACAUUUCGAAGACUUCUGGUGAACAUUUUGAGACUUCUUAGAGACUUCCUAAUUAACGUUUUGAGACAUUUUAGAGACUUUCUGGUGAACAUUUUGAGACUUUUUAGAGACAUUCUGGUGAAUAUUUUUGAGACUUUUUAGAGAUGUUCUGGUGAACAUUUUGAGACUUUUUAGAGACUUUCUGGUGAACAUUUUGAGACUUUUUAGAGACAUUCUGGUGAAUAUUUUUGAGACUUUUUAGAGACUUCCUAAUUAACGUUUUGAGACUUUUUGAAGACUUUUGCUGAAUGUUUAGAGAUGUUUUAGAGACUUCCUGGUGAACAUUUAGAUACUUUUUAGAGACUUCCUUGUGAACAGUUUGAGACUUUUUUAGAGCCUUCCUGGUGAACAUUUGGAGACUUCUUAGAGACUUCCUGGUGAACAUUUAGAGACAUUUUGGAGACUUCCUGUUGAAAAUUUUGAGAAUUUUUUGAGGCUUCCUGGUGAGCAUUUUGAGACUUCUAAUAGACUGCCUGGUGAACAAUUUGAGACUUUUUAGAGACUUUCUGGUUAACAUUUUAAGACUUUUUGGAGACUUUUUGGUGAAUGUUUUGAGAUGUUUUAGAGACUUCCUGCUGAAUGUUUUGAGAUGUUUUGGAGACCUCCUGGUUGUUGGCAUGCUGUCAUAAACGGCUGAGGUUCAAACAGAUUCUGGAUUUUGUUUUUCACACCAAACGUCAGUUUUUGCUCGAGGAAGGAUCUGCGUUAAACAUUUAUCUAGAGCAGAAUUUCUUCAUCUCAAACUAAAAAAGCGUUAAAACAGUUGUUGUGGUUCUUUACUUGACAGGAAGAGGUGACAUCAUGCCACCAGGUUGACCUUUGACCUUCAUGUUUUAAAAUAUUCAUAUAUCUGAAUGUUGGCUGUUUUUGUUGUGUUUAAACAUAAAAAAGAACUAAAUCAACUCACCUCUCUGUCACGUUGCUGCUGCAGCUCGUGUCGACUGUAAAUCAGACAUCAGUGAGGUAAAAACGCAGCGUUUCCAGGCCGACAGGUAAUUACACCUGUCUCUGUCUGAACGUCAUGUCGUGUCAGAGCGAGCUCUUUAAGACAGCGUGACGGGAGGAAGAGGAGGAGGAGGAGGCGAGGAAGAGCAGACAAGUUGACAGCAGAGUAAAUAAACACCACACGUCUGUCCUCCUCCCAGAAACAAACUCUGUUCUCUGAUGACCUUUCAGUCUUCCAUCAUCGUCCCCUGGAGGCAGACAUGAAACACGUCAGCUGCAGAUGGUAGAAAGCAGGAAGAAGGACCUGCUGCUAUCAUCUGAACGCUCCAAAAGCACAAUCCUUUUCAUCACCUGACGAAAACGCUCUCAUCUCUGGAGCCAAGACAGCUGUGAUAUUUCUCAUGACUCAUCUCCGCAGACCUGAAGGGCUGCUCGGAGGAUUUUCAG